This 253-nucleotide ribosomal RNA is filed under the name uncultured bacterium. RNAcentral describes it as "partial 16S ribosomal RNA". It matches the Rfam family "Bacterial small subunit ribosomal RNA", at positions 524 to 776 of the family's 1533-position model. The record is from RNAcentral.
UACGUAGGGUGCAAGCGUUGUCCGGAAUUAUUGGGCGUAAAGAGCUCGUAGGCGGUUCGUCGCGUCGGCUGUGAAAUCCCGAGGCUCAACCUCGGGCCUGCAGUCGAUACGGGCGGACUUGAGUGUUGCAGGGGAGACUGGAAUUCCUGGUGUAGCGGUGAAAUGCGCAGAUAUCAGGAGGAACACCGGUGGCGAAGGCGGGUCUCUGGGCAACUACUGACGCUGAGGAGCGAAAGCGUGGGGAGCGAACAGG